Molecule: ribosomal RNA, 279 nt
Filed under: uncultured Staphylococcus sp.
Lineage: Bacteria; Bacillati; Bacillota; Bacilli; Caryophanales; Staphylococcaceae
Description: partial 16S ribosomal RNA
Rfam family: Bacterial small subunit ribosomal RNA
Source: RNAcentral
UACGUAGGUGGCAAGCGUUAUCCGGAAUUAUUGGGCGUAAAGCGCGCGCAGGCGGUUUUUUAAGUCUGAUGUGAAAGCCCACGGCUCAACCGUGGAGGGUCAUUGGAAACUGGAAAACUUGAGUGCAGAAGAGGAAAGUGGAAUUCCAUGUGUAGCGGUGAAAUGCGCAGAGAUAUGGAGGAACACCAGUGGCGAAGGCGACUUUCUGGUCUGUAACUGACGCUGAUGUGCGAAAGCGUGGGGAUCAAACAGGAUUAGAUACCNUGGUAGUCAAGGCUG